AUCAAUAUAUCAAUGUUGGAAGACCCCAUUUCAGGUUGGUAUUAGGCAUUCAAUCUUGAAUGUGGUUUCAUUAUGGAAGUUUCAAAGAGUUUCAGGUCUGAGUUUCUCUUUCAGAAAUUUAGUAAACCUUGUUACAAACAUAGGAUUUCUAGAUGUUUUGGGCUCAUGUUUAGAAUUCUGCAGAAUUUAAAGUUAUUUAUAUUCUUGAAAUGUUUUCUCUGUGCUGUAAAUUUAGUAUUGAGCUGCAGGCUACUGAGGUAUUACUUCAAGCUGAUUCGAUCCAAGCAAUUGCCCCAGGACAUCAAAGCUGCAUCAGGACAUCAAAGCUGCAUCAGAUAGAUCUACCAAGGGAGAGACAAUGCAAAGACCGAAAACAUGAACCGGAUCGGGUCAUCGAAAAGGCAACCUCAUUUUGGAUAUUAGAGACAAGUAUAUAAUAUUAGAUGCUUUUCAUUGUGAGAUAUUGAGUACAUUGUGUAUGUAUAUGUUUUGUCUCUAAGUAUAUUGAGUAAACAUUGUGUAUGAAUAUAUAACAUUGGAUAUUUAGCAAAGUAUGAGAAUAUUUUGAUUUCAUUGUGA
Molecule: long non-coding RNA, 579 nt
Organism: Asparagus officinalis (garden asparagus)
Lineage: Eukaryota; Viridiplantae; Streptophyta; Magnoliopsida; Asparagales; Asparagaceae
Exons: 3
Source: RefSeq, a predicted model, not a curated record